Molecule: non-coding RNA, 204 nt
Filed under: Dipodomys ordii (Ord's kangaroo rat)
Lineage: Eukaryota; Metazoa; Chordata; Mammalia; Rodentia; Heteromyidae
Description: Connexin-43 internal ribosome entry site (IRES)
Rfam family: Connexin-43 internal ribosome entry site (IRES)
About the family: This family represents the connexin-43 internal ribosome entry site (IRES) which allows cap independent translation during conditions such as heat shock and stress.
Source: Rfam by way of RNAcentral
UUUUUUUACGAGGUAUCAGCACUUUUCUUUCAUUAGGGGGAAGGCGUGAGGAAAGCACCAAACGGCAGCAGACUUUUAAACUUUAAAUAGACAGGUCCGAGUGUCUGAACUUGCCUUUCCUCUGGUAUCUCAUCCACCCAGGAGUUCCAGGCUUGGCGCGCCCGCUUCACUCCUUUUAAGUGAGAGAGUAAGUGUUUUAAACCC